Molecule: long non-coding RNA, 209 nt
Filed under: Malus domestica (apple)
Lineage: Eukaryota; Viridiplantae; Streptophyta; Magnoliopsida; Rosales; Rosaceae
Description: long non-coding RNA (MDOM_LNC011205)
Source: RNAcentral
CGAUAAACGGCUUUCGAUCCUUCCAACCCUUCUGCAAGGAGGUGUCUUCCUCCACUUCUCAUGCUUCGAGUCAAAGCAUCUGGGUUGAGAGAAGUCUCAUGUUGAUCAAUGUUUUGAUGAUUAGCUCGCUUCUCAUCAGGGAUACCCAUGUCGAAGGGAGGUGACCCUCCGUGUUAGGGGGCACCCAGAUGAUGGUUGAUGUCCACAGG